AGUGAACGCUGGCGGUAGGCCUAACACAUGCAAGUCGAGCGGCAGCACAGUAAGAGCUUGCUCUUACGGGUGGCGAGUGGCGGACGGGUGAGGAAUACAUCGGAAUCUACUUUUUCGUGGGGGAUAACGUAGGGAAACUUACGCUAAUACCGCAUACGACCUACGGGUGAAAGCAGGGGAUCUUCGGACCUUGCGCGAUUGAAUGAGCCGAUGUCGGAUUAGCUAGUUGGCGGGGUAAAGGCCCACCAAGGCGACGAUCCGUAGCUGGUCUGAGAGGAUGAUCAGCCACACUGGAACUGAGACACAGUCCAGACUCCUACGGGAGGCAGCAGUGGGGAAUAUUGGACAAUGGGCGCAAGCCUGAUCCAGCCAUACCGCGUGGGUGAAGAAGGCCUUCGGGUUGUAAAGCCCUUUUGUUGGGAAAGAAAAGCAGCAGGUUAAUACCCCGCUGUUCUGACGGUACCCAAAGAAUAAGCACCGGCUAACUUCGUG
This 492-nucleotide ribosomal RNA is filed under the name uncultured bacterium. Its description in RNAcentral is "partial 16S ribosomal RNA". It matches the Rfam family "Bacterial small subunit ribosomal RNA", at positions 29 to 507 of the family's 1533-position model. The record is from RNAcentral.